This 24-nucleotide non-coding RNA is filed under the name Arabidopsis thaliana (thale cress). The record is from RNAcentral. Lineage: Eukaryota; Viridiplantae; Streptophyta; Magnoliopsida; Brassicales; Brassicaceae.
AUAAAUUGUUCCGCAGUACGCCGC